RNAcentral lists this long non-coding RNA (1238 nucleotides) under Athene cunicularia (burrowing owl). Its description in RNAcentral is "lncRNA (ENSACUG00000002610.1)". The record is from RNAcentral. Lineage: Eukaryota; Metazoa; Chordata; Aves; Strigiformes; Strigidae.
AUAUUCUCACGAUUUCAGUACAUGGCCAGAACUCCUUGGUGUUUUACUUGGGAUGGUACCUGGAUUAAAGGCAUGUUUGCAAACAUUCCCUCAAUAGUAGAUAAGGGCACUACCCGACUAGAAAAGGAGCAUGUAGUGCCAUGGUGGAAAUGUGAAAAAGUAUAUGAUUGCAGCAAUGAAGACUUAAUAAUUCAAAGAAUUCCUCAAUUAGCAGCUGCUUUGAAGUUUGGUUGUUAUUGUCGAGGUUUUUAUAAUAACCUCACCAUGACUAGCAUCUUUACACCCAGAAGAGGAUACUUUUUUAGUUGUAAGAAAUCUACCAUUCAGAGUCCAGGACAUUUAGUUUGGGCAUUAAGUGAUGGCACCUGGACAACCCACUUACCAGUAGAUGGUAAGGUGAAACAAAUUACUUUAGGCCUGCCAACAUUGUGUCUAAUUUGGAAGAAAUCACCAUUCAAGGGAUCCCUGGAAAAUUUAAAAUUACAACGAAUCAAAAGGUCUGAAAUAGAUGAUGACACCUGGAAUGAACCAUCAACAGGAGUAAAAAUUGGCUGGGCUUUAGAGUUUCUUUUGAACCCAAUAGCGUCCUAUAGGAAUAGAGAAUGGCUUUAUCACUUAACAGGACAAGUAGAAAAAUUGGCCAAUGUUACAAGAAAAGGAUUUCAAGAAUUAAACAUACAGUUACAGGCAACUUCCCGAAUGACACUUCAAAACAGGAUGGCAUUAGACAUGCUUCUGUUAAAAGAGCAUGGAGUAUGUGGAUAUCUCAAAGAUAGAUUGGAUCAUUGCUGCAUUCAUAUCCCGAAUGUUACACAGGAUGUAGAACAUGAUUUAGAUCUGUUAGACAAAAUCGGAAAAGAAACAGAAACAAUUUGAGAAGAUAUGUCAAAAGAUUGGCUAGAAAAAAUUUUUAGUGGAUUAGGAUGGAAUUUGAGCUCUUGGCUGAAAUCCUUAAUCAAAAUUCUAUUUUUGCUAUUAAUUGUCCUUCUGAUUAUUAUGUUGGUGUAUGCCUGUCUUAAAAGACAGUUUACUAAUAGGCUUGCAAUAUAUCGUAGAAUUAUGAGAGAAGUACCCACUAUGCCACCUGACUACAGCCCUCCACCACCAUCAUCUGGCAAGACAAACUUUGGCUUCAAAGAUUAAAAUGAAUAAAAGUGUGAAAGUAUUGAAAUGAUUUUCAACACUUUCAAAGGGGGGAAUUGUUACUGAUUUUAUUAUCAACUGAAAUUAAAUUGUGU